RNAcentral lists this ribosomal RNA (492 nucleotides) under uncultured bacterium. Its description in RNAcentral is "partial 16S ribosomal RNA". It matches the Rfam family "Bacterial small subunit ribosomal RNA", at positions 29 to 507 of the family's 1533-position model. The record is from RNAcentral.
AGUGAACGCUGGCGGUAGGCCUAACACAUGCAAGUCGAACGGCAGCACAGUAAGAGCUUGCUCUUACGGGUGGCGAGUGGCGGACGGGUGAGGAAUACAUCGGAAUCUACUUUUUCUUGGGGGAUAACGUAGGGAAACUUACGCUAAUACCGCAUACGACCUACGGGUGAAAUCAGGGGAUCUUCGGACCUUGCGCGAUUGAAUGAGCCGAUGUCGGAUUAGCUAGUUGGCGGGGUAAAGGCCCACCAAGGCGACGAUCCGUAGCUGGUCUGAGAGGAUGAUCAGCCACACUGGAACUGAGACACGGUCCAGACUCCUACGGGAGGCAGCAGUGGGGAAUAUUGGACAAAGGGCGCAAGCCUGAUCCAGCCAUACCGCGUGGGUGAAGAAGGCCUUCGGGUUGUAAAGCCCUUUUGUUGGGAAAGAAAAGCAGCAGGUUAAUACCCCGCUGUUCUGACGGUACCAAAAGAAUAAGCACCGGCUAACUUCGUG